This 229-nucleotide ribosomal RNA is filed under the name uncultured bacterium. RNAcentral's name for it is "partial 16S ribosomal RNA". It matches the Rfam family "Bacterial small subunit ribosomal RNA", at positions 568 to 795 of the family's 1533-position model. The record is from RNAcentral.
UGCGUAGGCGGUUUGAUAAGUCAGUUGUGAAAUUCCCCGGCUUAACCGGCGGGACUGCGAUUGAUACUGUCAAACUUGAAUCAGGUUGAGGUAGGCGGAAUGUGGCAUGUAGCGGUGAAAUGCAUAGAUAUGCCAUAGAACACCGAUUGCGAAGGCAGCUUGCUGGACCUUGAUUGACGCUGAGGCACGAAAGCGUGGGGAGCGAACAGGAUUAGAUACCCUGGUAGUC